RNAcentral lists this long non-coding RNA (1116 nucleotides) under Triticum aestivum (bread wheat). RNAcentral's name for it is "long non-coding RNA (TAES_LNC028278)". Lineage: Eukaryota; Viridiplantae; Streptophyta; Magnoliopsida; Poales; Poaceae. The record is from RNAcentral.
CAAUAUAGCACUCUAUAUCAGGGGCCAGCCAAGCCUACUACCAUGCAUGAGGCCACAACCAGCCCAAUAGCAUCAGCACCGUUGGAGCCCUGACCAACGUCCAAGCUUUAUCAAGCUCCCUGCAAAUUGCAUUUAGUGGCAAAGCAUCAAUAGAUGAAGUUGCAAAAUGAAUAUCUUAGGGGAAGCUACACUUGGCAUAUACACUAGUAGAGUUGGGUUUAAGUAACCAAGUCAUGUUUAAAAGAGUUAACUGAAGGAGUACAAUUAGCGUGUAACCUGGAAAACAUAUAGGUAGAGGCCUAGAGUAUCAACAGCAGCAAUACAUCUAGAGGCCUAGAGCAUUAGAGCAUCAACAGCAGCAGUAUAGCUAAAGGCCUAGAGCAUCAACAACAACAGUACAGCUAGAUUCUAGAGCAGUAAAGCAUCAACAGCAGUAGUACAGCUAGAGGCCUAGCGCUUUUCUUCCCGCACAUGACCAAGGCUAGGUGCUGAGCCAACGCCUCUUGCUUCAGCGUGCAUAAUCGGCCUAUUAAGCGCGCCUUCUUGAACUUUGACGACACAUGCUUGCAUAAACUCAUGGAAGGAAGGUGACAACAUUUCAGAGUAAUCCAAUUCAAAAUCAGAAGGUGUGCUUUCUACUCAAUAUUAACAGGGAUGCGUGUACCUCUAUGCUUUGGCAUCUCAGUCGGAGGGGACAAAAAAUUGUCCAGCAAAGUGAAGCCAUCUCUUGUUGCUUCAUGCAAAGCUACAGCCAGCCAGGAAGCAGCACCACCAAGUUUCAUGUGAUGGCGCGGUGGAACCAGCAAAAUAUAUUGUCCUGCAGAGGCAUUCUUAUCACCAUACAAUUAUCACAACUAGUAAUUGCCAGAACAAGAAAGCUUAAACAAAGGUUAAACCUCGGUAACAACAGCAGCAGGUCAAUAACAACAGCAUCAGGUCCUGGGAGUGCUUUAAUUUAGUCCAUUUUUUAUCAACAACUUAUCCUAAGGACGACAUGCUAUCGAACUUUGGAAAAUACAGUAUGAAUAUGACAGCAAUAGCAGCAAGUCCUACACUAAAAUAAGCAAUCAUGAUUUCUAACAAUAGAAAUCAUCAGCAGCAAGUCCUAACUUAACA